AACGCGAAGAACCUUACCCAGACUUGACAUCCUCGGAACUUUGCAGAGAUGCGAAGGUGCCCGCAAGGGAGCCGGGAGACAGGUGCUGCAUGGCUGUCGUCAGCUCGUGUCGUGAGAUGUUGGGUUAAGUCCCGCAACGAGCGCAACCCUCGCCUUCAGUUGCCAUCAUUCAGUUGGGCACUCUGGAGGGACUGCCGGUGUCAAGCCGGAGGAAGGUGGGGAUGACGUCAAGUCCUCAUGGCCUUUAUGUCUGGGGCUACACACGUGCUACAAUGGCCGGUACAAAGGGCUGCUAAGGCGCGAGCCGGAGCCAAUCCCAGAAAACCGGUCCCAGUUCGGAUCGAAGUCUGCAACUCGACUUCGUGAAGUCGGAAUCGCUAGUAAUCGCGGAUCAGAACGCCGCGGUGAAUACGUUCCCGGGCCUUGUACACACCGAGUAUA
This 441-nucleotide ribosomal RNA is filed under the name uncultured bacterium. RNAcentral describes it as "bacterial SSU rRNA". It matches the Rfam family "Bacterial small subunit ribosomal RNA", at positions 958 to 1398 of the family's 1533-position model. The record is from RNAcentral.